Molecule: ribosomal RNA, 468 nt
Filed under: uncultured bacterium
Lineage: Bacteria
Description: partial 16S ribosomal RNA
Rfam family: Bacterial small subunit ribosomal RNA
Source: RNAcentral
GACGAACGCUGGCGGCGUGCUUAACACAUGCAAGUCGAACGGAAAGGCCCUGCUUUUGUGGGGUGCUCGAGUGGCGAACGGGUGAGUAACACGUGAGUAACCUGCCCUUGACUUUGGGAUAACUUCAGGAAACUGGGGCUAAUACCGGAUAGGAGCUCCUGCUGCAUGGUGGGGGUUGGAAAGUUUCGGCGGUUGGGGAUGGACUCGCGGCUUAUCGGCUUGUUGGUGGGGUAGUGGCUUACCAAGGCUUUGACGGGUAGCCGGCCUGAGAGGGUGACCGGCCACAUUGGGACUGAGAUACGGCCCAGACUCCUACGGGAGGCAGCAGUGGGGAAUAUUGCACAAUGGGCGGAAGCCUGAUGCAGCAACGCCGCGUGCGGAAUGACGGCCUUCGGGUUGUAAACCGCUUUCGCCUGUGACGAAGCGUGAGUGACGGUAAUGGGUAAAGAAGCACCGGCUAACUACGUG